UGGGGGAUAUUGCACAAUGGGCGAAAGCCUGAUGCAGCGACGCCGCGUGGGGGAUGAAGGCCUUCGGGUUGUAAACUUCUUUUGCUCUGAACAAGGCAUGCUAAUGGGUGUGUUGAGUGUAGGGGUUGAUUAGCGUCGGCUAACUACGUGCCAGCAGCCGCGGUAAUACGUAGGGCGCGAGCGUUGUCCGGAAUUAUUGGGCGUAAAGGGCUUGUAGGUGGCUGGUUGCGUCUGUCGUGAAAGCACAUGGCUUAACUGUGGGUAUGCGGUGGAUACGGGCUGGCUUAAGUGCAGUAGGGGAGGAUGGAAUUCCUGGUGUAGCCGAGGAAUGCGCAGAUAUCAAGAGGCAUACCGGUGGCGGAAGAGGGUCUGUGGGCUGUUAAUGAAACUGGGGAGAGAAAGCAUGGGGGGCGAACAGG
RNAcentral lists this ribosomal RNA (419 nucleotides) under bacterium. RNAcentral's name for it is "partial 16S ribosomal RNA". It matches the Rfam family "Bacterial small subunit ribosomal RNA", at positions 355 to 776 of the family's 1533-position model. The record is from RNAcentral.